AACGGCGCGCAGGACAGCAGACCUUUAGCCUCUCUCCAGCCUGCACAAGCCGCCAGGAGUCUGACGAGCAACCCGGCUCUACUUUCCCAGGCUCCAACCUCAGUUAGACAAUUACACCUGAGCGUUAAGAUCCAGUGGCUGUUCGUCUCCAAUCGGAGCAGCAGUGGUUACAGGCCUACACCUCCCAUCAUCCAGGGUAUCCAUCAAAGCUUCAGCCACUGUGCAGUAACUUCCUGGAGUCCUAGCUGUUUCCUGCCAGCCUCAUUCCUCCAGGAAGCUAAAUAAUGACAGCUAACGAACAGCAGUGAACAGAGAGAUAAACAACUGACUGGUGAAGGAAAGUGAGCACUCCACCUGGUGUCGCAGGUAGCUCCACCACCUCUCCCAGCCUACAGCAUUUCCAACCCAACCAGAACAGACGGUGUGGGGAGCGAUUUAUUGGAUUGGAUCCCACCCAGCAGUGACUUAUACGCUCAACCUAUAUGUCACAGAUGGUAGGAUUUCACUGUGGUUGAUAUAGGAAAUCCACUAAGGAGUAUUGAUCUUUCUAAGAUCUGCUCUCUCUGCCUGAUCUCCACAGGAUCUGAACAUCCGCAGAGAGCUGGAGGGGAGCGGGCCGCAGGUCUACCUUUAACCAGUAGAGUAAAGGUAAUGCUAUGGAACAUUUUCACACAGCAUCUCCACCAUCUUUCAAUACAUGCAGUGUUACUAUUCGACAUAUAGCCAGCUUCACAUUUCUUGCUCAUGUUGUGUUUUCAAAUGCUUUUAAAGGCUGUUAGCAUUAGUAGCUUUAGCAACCAGGUCUGAACAGAAGAACUACAUCUACCACCUACAGCAAAUGCACCAACAAAACAAUCCAAGGAAACUCACUGUUGACUCACUGUUCGCUUGGCAACAGAUCUAUGGGUGGAUUAAGACCAAAACCACAACAGUAAUAAUCAGUUUGCGUCAAAGAUGUCAGCAAAAUGAAAAACAAGAACCUUGAUUAUUACUCCUGUAAGUGGAAGUUACACAUUGUGGGAUCUCUAUAAGAUCUAAGUUGUUCAUUUCUAAACUGGCAUUCUGCAACUAGAUAUUAAAACACACCUGAGCUACAAAUGCAUGCAAAUCCAAAAUGCUUUUUCUGCCUUGCUAAAGAAUGGCAAUUUUAAUAGCAUAUAUCUGAUUCCAUUAAGACUUAUAAUCGUAUUAAUUUGUUUAUCAUAGACACAAACGCUAAAUUGUUUGUGCAAUUGACAUUUUCUGUACCUGUCCAAUCUGCUUCAGUAUCUCUGUGUUGCUUUGAAAAUGCUACAAGAUAAUUAUCAUCAUAUUAAUAAAGAACUUCAUUUACAUGAA
This is a long non-coding RNA of Gymnodraco acuticeps, 1338 nucleotides long. RefSeq lists it as uncharacterized. The transcript is spliced from 5 exons. The record is from RefSeq and is a predicted model, not a curated record. NCBI's taxonomy places the organism in Eukaryota, Metazoa, Chordata, Actinopteri, Perciformes, Bathydraconidae.